RNAcentral lists this long non-coding RNA (3273 nucleotides) under Sus scrofa (pig). Its description in RNAcentral is "lncRNA (ENSSSCG00000052540.1, ENSSSCG00110007103.1)". Lineage: Eukaryota; Metazoa; Chordata; Mammalia; Artiodactyla; Suidae. The record is from RNAcentral.
UCAUGGGAGGGUGGGGGGAGUUAGUACCAAGAAAACGCUGUAUAAUUAAGAAAUGUUCCCUUUGCGCAAGGAACCAUGCAAACAAUCCACCAGCAUAUUAGUGAGAUGGAAAUACUGACCCACAAUAGCCAACCCAGUGCUUUUCAGGGAGGUGGGCUAGAUUAUACAUUAAACCAUUGACACAUGUCUCCUUAGAGUUGGGAAAGGCUUUGGGUUAGAAGCAAAAGAAGAUAUAAGUAUGUUGGUGGCAGAUCAGGAGUCACAAGACAAGCUUUGCUCACAGUUGUGAAAAACCUCAAGUUUCCAAAGCUUCGCCCUUGAGAAAGAAGUAACAAUGUCUCAAUCUCAUUGAACAUGAGGAUUGCUGAGAAGUAAAGGAGGGUAUACUUCUCCACAGGCGGCCUCAUACCACUUGGAGUCAAAUGUGAUUUCGAGCAAGAAUCUAGCAAAAAGAAUAAUCAGAAACAAAUGCGAAUGUUGUUUAAUUUCAUACUAAUUUUUAAAUCCGUGGUUUAGCUGUGCUUCUUGUUAAAAGAACAUUCCUAUCCCUGCAGAUGCCGCUUGAAGGUCCUGAUUAUAAAGUUGCAAUUACAAACGGAAAAUCUGUUUCUCCCAUAUCCCUUAAUGUCAUUGUAAAAUAUGGAGCCUUCUGAUAUCAAAUGCUUUCUUCUACUUGGAAAAGAUGAGAGAGUUAGAGAAGAGAAAGAUAUUAUUGGGCCCUACCACCUCUUAGGCGGAAUAAACAAGAAGAAUUCGAUUUAUUUAUUUAUUUAUUUUUGGCCUCUAAACUCUCAUAUAGCUCAUAAGUUUGUUUCCAAGUGUUGGGUUCAUAGAAAAUUUCAUCACAGAAUUAUGUUCAAAUAACUCCGCGUGCCUGGCUUAGGUCAGUGGAAACCAUAAAUCCAGGAGAAUUGAACUCAUUCUUGUUUGGUAGACAUUUGGAAGAAAAAGGGGAACAACUUGCAAAAAGACUGCAAGGAGGGACACCGCUGUGAACACUGGAGAGGUGACUCAAUAUGCUGCCUAGUGGCCGAGCAAGGACAAGAGCCAGAUAUCCAGAUGCUUGCUGUGAGUGGCACACAGGCAAUGAACUUCAAUGAAAGGCUUUUCUCUGCCACCUUGUGACUCAGAAGUGCUCCCCUAAAUAUCUCUCAUCCCAUUUGACCCAGCCUUAGCCCAGUCUCAUACAUGUAACAUUUUCUGCUCAAUGGAUGUGCCUAUCUCUUAAGUAUUUGUUGACAAACAAUUCCUAGGUCUAUGGUUUUUGCCCUUGUUUCCUUCUAUAAAAUGCCCAAAUAGGUGUCCAGGCCAUGUCAGCUGCAGCGCUCAGCAACGUAGAGGGUUAGCACUGAAUCUGGCCUUUGCAAAUAUGUAUCUAAUUUUUUAGGUUUGCCAAAUUAUUCCCGUUAUCUUUUUCCUUUGCAAAAAUGAAUGCACUGUUUGGUUCAACGACCCCAAGUUCCUUGAAACUCACGUUGUCACCGUGGCUUGCCGAUCUGUGUCCCUCAUUGUACCAGUCGGGCACAUGAAUGGAUUCAGGGGCCACUUUGCCAGCUUUACCUGUCACCAAUCUUACAUAUUCCCCGCAAACAGUGUAGGUUUGUGGGGUGUUGGGGGGAAGAUGGCAAUUAUAAAUGAGAAUAGGAUCUGACACACUUUUCAACCACUUGAAAUCUCUGUGGUUUCAUUUUAUGACAUUCUCAGAGCACAUCUCUUUGGAAUACCAGCUAGUAUAUUCUUUUCCCGUUUGGAAUCCACAGCUGGGAGCUGAACAACACUGAGCCAAUCAACGAAUCCCAACAGGAAGAUGUAACUUUAAUUCACUUAGGCAAGAGUUGUAUUUCAUUGCAGCACAUUGACAAAUCAUAGCCAGCUCUGUAGGAUGUCAGGAGUUAUCUCUCAGUCAACUUUAAUGAUAACCAGGGGUCCCUAAGUCAGCCAACAUGAAUUGGGAAGAAGCCAAGACCAGAGACUGCAGUGCCAACCACGUAAUGAAUUUCAUGCAGAAAUUCCAAAGAAGACUCAGCCACUUAGGAUUUCUACACAACGUCUAUUUCCAGCUCCACAUUAGGACAUAGGAUCUUAAAAAUAACUUUUUAAAAGCUGGCUUAAUGUAGUUAUAUGAAAAGGCUUAUAAAAAUCAAACCAAGUUUACAUAUACAUGAAAUUUAUCACCUUUGUUGAAAACAACAGAAAGACCCAAAACUGAGUUUAGAGAGAAAAAUCCAUGAAAUAAUCACUGGAGUCAUGUCACAAAAGAUAACCGAGCGGGGUAGACCUACCUGGACACAUCAUGUUGGCCUACUUUCCAAUAGGAUGCUUCAGGAGAAAGUGAAAUCUCUGUAACGUGAAAUCUUACGUGCAUUCCAGUUGAAUUUCUUCUCAUUGCAAAUGGUGCUCAAAGAAGGAUCAAUCUCGGUUGCUUCCUUCAGUUUCCCUUUUGGAGUGAUUUUUGUUUUUCAUUUACAGUAGGCUAUGUUAGCCUUUAUUUUAGUGGUUGUGCAAACUAGGUCGCCUGAUGGAACGUUACGCCGGUGGCCUUUCAUAAAGGUUGCUGAACUUUCACCAGAGGUGAGAUGAAUGAAGGUAAAUAGAUCUAAAUACUAUUAGGGAGAAAAAGGGCUCUUGCUUUAAGAAGUAAGGAAAUUUUAAUCAAACCUGUUUCAAGGGUGAGAGUGAGGAAAAGGCAGCCCCACUAGCUUAGAAAAAGACCUGCUUAGAGAAGCUGAGUUACGGAUGCAAAAGCCGAGGCAAACUUCCCAGAUCUGAAAGCAUCUUAUGUUCCCUCAGCUCCCUGAGAGCUCCAGUUUUAAAAAGGACCAGUUACCUCCAUGAACUCCCAAAUUGAAAUGUCCUUUCCUUCUAAUCGUUCAGAUAAUCGACACGCGCAGCCAGGACACCUUCGUUGCUAAACUCACUUAUCUAGUGUCCAUUGGCAGCAACAAUGGACAAGACCCUUCCACAUGGCUUUGUCAUCCUCAGCCAGGUUUAACUAAGAAAGCUCUUUCACUGCUGGCCUCAUUCUCUCAGGUGUGAUCGAGGGGAGCCAAGUUGUUUUGACUUGAGUUCUCAGUGAAUAAGUAUUAAUACCAGACUCUGCCAAACUUGUCUCCUUCCAUCUUAGAACUUCAGCAAGUACGCGUUUGAUUACUCCUUGACUCCAAGUCUACUUUAAAAAAAGAAAAAAAAAAAUGAGAUCGAGAAGUUUCCUUGUGCAGCACAUUAAGGAUCUGGCACUGUCACUGCUAUGGUGCAGGUUCUAUCCCUGGCCUG